UCCAUUGGGUGGUCGAGAGAGCCAAGAUAUCCACCGAGUUCUGACAGAGAAAGGGACUCCGUUGAGAGGCCGAGAGAGCCAAGAUAUCCGCGUGACGCGCCAUCUCAUGGCGAGGACCUCAGAGACCGGCUGAACAGGCCGCCUCAUGAGAGGACGCCUGGCAGCGGCGCGUUCUUCGUCAACAACGGCGCGGACUCCCAGGCCAGGGGGCAGCGGAUGGAGCACAGGCAGCUACAGAUGAUCAACCGCACCAUCAACGACGACAUGGACUCCCUCUCCGUCGGGAGCCACGAGUCCUCCGAGCAGCCCCGUGUCAGCGUGCGGACCAUACACAACAGACCAAGGACCAGAAUAAACCUGGGCUGGUAGCCAGCCAUAUCAUGUGUGACCGACCGUGUCUGUACUCAAAAUCUUGGGAUGCAAUGUCGGAAAAGUUUAUCGAUACCUGGAAACUGGAAAGGGGAAGUUGAGAUGUACAUUUCAGGAACUGAAUUCACUGAUAGAUACUGUAGUCAGGAGCCUAUUGUGUAGAUAAUCAGAGCUGUUAUUUUUUCCUGGAAUGCUGUAAUUGUGUCUUGGUGUGGAUGUUGUGUUGCGUUGGCGCGAUUAUUGAUGACUGAAUAAUAUUGGCUGGGUGUAGGGCAGGAGUUUUUCCUGGAAUUAAUAUGCUGUGAUUGUGUCUUCAGUAACAUUUUGCUCUUUAUAUUUGGAAAGAGAUAGCAGUAACAUUUUGCUUUUGGCCUGUGAAAUUUUAUUAUUUGUGCUGCUUUGGUUUGAGGGAAAGAUUGUGUGCUUGUUUUUGUUUUUAUGCCUAGAAGGAUUUGUGAGAUCUGAAUUCACUGAUAGAUACUGUAGUCAGGAGCCUAUUGUGUAGAUAAUCAGAGCUGUUAUUUUUUCCUGGAAUGCUGUAAUUGUGUCUUGGUGUGGAUGUUGUGUUGCGUUGGCGCGAUUAUUGAUGACUGAAUAAUAUUGGCUGGGUGUAGGGCAGGAGUUUUUCCUGGAAUUAAUAUGCUGUGAUUGUGUCUUCAGUAACAUUUUGCUCUUUAUAUUUGGAAAGAGAUAGCAGUAACAUUUUGCUUUUGGCCUGUGAAAUUUUAUUAUUUGUGCUGCUUUGGUUUGAGGGAAAGAUUGUGUGCUUGUUUUUGUUUUUAUGCCUAGAAGGAUUUGUGAGAUCUGNNNNNNNNNNGUGAAGCCUAUUCAUAGAUCUAUCUCAAGGUGAAAUUUCUAAUGGCAGGACAGGAAAGGAAAUCCACCAGGCAUCAUUCGAACUUUUGUUUCUGAUCCGAUCCCUGAACUAUUUAAGGUCAUGAUCAAGAGAUUGGUAAGGUGGCGUAUUCUGCCAACGGAUUGUGUGCCAGACAGUUGCAUUGUCAACAUGUAUGACCCUGGAGAUUGCAUUCCACCACAUAUAGACAGCCAUGAUUUUGUUCGACCAUUUUGUACUGUUUCAUUCCUCAGUGAAUGCGACAUACUUUUUGGGUCUAGUCUGAAAAUCGCUGGUCCUGGAGAAUUUACGGGCUCAUUUGCAAUUCCUCUGCCUGUUGGGUAUGUUGGUUAUCUUCUCUCGAUUUUCCUCUAUGCUUAUGAAUAUCAUGCAGAAUUGACACUUCCUUUUGCAUGUAGUAUUCACACUUAAUUAUGUAGUGUAUGGAUAGGUCUGAAACUCUGAAUUGAUUAUAUUCCUGGAGAUUUGAGAAUUUUGAUUGCAUAUGAAUUCAAAGACCGUGUCUGAUUCAUUUGCUUACUGCAUGACAUCUUGACUGUACAUGUGUGGAUAGUUUUGAUUUUAUUUUAUUUUUUGACAUUCCGAAGUUCUGAUCUCAUAUGAAUACCAAUAUCAUGCAAAGUCCGUUUGAUACAUGUAAAUGAUAUUGCUUGCUGCAUAGCACAUUGAGGUGCUGAGCUUGUUAGCUUUGAUCUGAAGUUAUCUCAAGUUUGUGCCAAGAUAAGCUAUUUUCUAAUGAUUAUGAGCCAUUUUCUAGUGAUUUUCUUUUUUAUUGUUAUCUUGUCUUUGUUUCUUUACCUGGGUGUCAUGAAUUGUAUGUGAUGUGUGCAGUGAUCUCUGUAGUUUUAUGCUGUCAUUCUUUGCUUCCUUUGCUGAACACUAAAUGUGAACAUUCACAGGUCUGUGCUCGUCAUAAAUGGCAAUGGUGCUGAUGUUGCAAAGCAUUGUGUUCCAGCGGUACCAUCCAAAAGGUUAUAGUUGUAUGUUGCAUUAUUUUUCUGAACUUGAUUUGUUCACCUCUGACAUUAUGCUGGAACUCUGAUUGAUGUACAGGAUAUCCAUUACCUUCAGAAAAAUGGAUCCUGCAAAGCGUCCGUUCAGUUUCAAGGAUGACCCUGAACUGCUGAACAUCACUCCUCUCGAAGCACCAGCUGCACCCGAAACUAGCAGAUCCUCGGAUGAAGGCAAGGGGAAGCAGCUUGGCGUACAAACUCGGGAUCCAGGCAGCAGAUCAUCCAGAAGCAGGAAAUCCAAAGGAAGAACGACACCUGCUGGAAAGGUUGGAUGGGGGGGCAUUCUUGGAGACCAACCUCCACAGCACCCACAGAGCCCUAUCUCCAGUGUGAGCUCUGACAGAGAGAGGGACUCCAUUGGGAGGUCGAGAGAGCCAAGAUAUCCACCGAGUUCUGACAGAGAAAGGGACUCCGUUGAGAGGCCGAGAGAGCCAAGAUAUCCGCGUGACGCGCCAUCUCAUGGCGAGGACCUCAGAGACCGGCUGAACAGGCCGCCUCAUGAGAGGACGCCUGGCAGCGGCGUGUUCUUCGUCAACAACGGCGCGGACUCCCAGGCCAGGGGGCAGCGGAUGGAGCACAGGCAGCUACAGAUGAU
RNAcentral lists this long non-coding RNA (2833 nucleotides) under Triticum aestivum (bread wheat). Its description in RNAcentral is "long non-coding RNA (TAES_LNC017443)". Lineage: Eukaryota; Viridiplantae; Streptophyta; Magnoliopsida; Poales; Poaceae. The record is from RNAcentral.